UCUCAAUCUUGAGCUAAACAGGGCAAGCAGAAGCCAUGAAAAUGUACUAACCCCGUGCUGUUCUGGGGAAGGCAAAUCUUCUGCAGGCAAGUGGUGCUUUGUUACCAACCUUUAUGCUGUUCUGCACCCUACCUCACAUCUAAGCCGCAAAGUCGUGGCUGUCCAGCAGGUCUGGGGACAGAAACAUCUUUUGCUCCCUUCAAAUUUUACACUAGAGGAACAAAAGCGAAGUUUGUUAUUUGUUCAUUCCUUGCAUUUGAAGUCCUCCGUCUCGACAUCAUCCUUGGCCUGAAACUCUGCUCAAGUCCUUAACCACACGACGGCAACCAGCCACUCCAGGUGGGUUUGCCUCUUGUCAGUUUUACACAGGUUUACCCAGUCCCCUAGUUACUUGUCCUCAGCAGCCUUAAUUAGGCUGCUUUGGUGUUCAGCACAAAGGGCCUCCAUCAGCUGACAGACAGGCUCAUCCCAGUUGGAUGCAAGCUCACAAAGGGAGGCUUUAACAAUUUCUUGAAUUCCAUUUGCUAGGCCAUCCCCGACGGGACAGUCUUCAGCACCCCUUGUAAAGCCAUGGCUCUGGGUUCCUAGGGGAGCCAAAUCUUGAAUUCACUGGAGCCUCCGGGUGACUGAGGGUGGUAGGGAAAAGAGCUAGACUUCUCAUUAGGACCUUCCUGUGUUUUGCCCAAAUUUCCAUAACAAGGAUGAUUUGCUUUAAAAUUUGGCAAAACAGUAAGAAAACAGCAAGAGUUAUUCAUUGAAAAUGCAUGUUAUUCAGGAACAUUGGG
This 785-nucleotide long non-coding RNA is filed under the name Capra hircus (goat). RNAcentral describes it as "lncRNA (ENSCHIG00000003949.1)". The record is from RNAcentral. Lineage: Eukaryota; Metazoa; Chordata; Mammalia; Artiodactyla; Bovidae.